UUACACACGGUAAUAAGAAAAGUAAAACUUACACUGCAGAUACAGAGAGUCUUGUAAGCUGAGAAGAGACAUUGAAAGAAAGUUUGAAAAUGGCCUUUGAGUGUUGAUGCCAAUAUGAGGUAUCAACGGGUUCGCCCGUUAUAGCGAUACAGUAUUAACAUUUAUUGUUUAAUGGCGUACUGGAAUCACCGACGUCACUAAAUUAUCGUUAAUACUCAUUUAUCAUUAAAAGUUAAAUGAGUUUUUUUAUUACAGAUAUAUCUGAUACUUUACGAUAAUGUGUGUCACUUUUUCAAGUACUCCUAAAACAUGAUGGCGUACUGUUUGAGGUUACUUUAGCAAUAAAGUAGCAAACAAAGGUGGUACCACGAAACAAGCUUUCGUCCUUUAC
RNAcentral lists this non-coding RNA (391 nucleotides) under Staphylococcus sp. Its description in RNAcentral is "T-box sequence". It matches the Rfam family "T-box leader". Rfam says of the family: Uncharged tRNA acts as the effector for transcription antitermination of genes in the T-box leader family. T-boxes are found upstream of many aminoacyl-tRNA synthetase genes and some amino acid biosynthetic genes usually in Gram-positive bacteria. The anticodon of a specific tRNA base pairs to a specifier sequence within the T-box motif, and the NCCA acceptor tail of the tRNA base pairs to a conserved bulge in the T-box antiterminator hairpin. The record is from RNAcentral. Lineage: Bacteria; Bacillati; Bacillota; Bacilli; Caryophanales; Staphylococcaceae.